Molecule: ribosomal RNA, 253 nt
Filed under: uncultured bacterium
Lineage: Bacteria
Description: partial 16S ribosomal RNA
Rfam family: Bacterial small subunit ribosomal RNA
Source: RNAcentral
UACGGGGGGGGCAAGCGUUGUUCGGAAUUACUGGGCGUAAAGGGCUUGUAGGUGGCCAACUAAGUCAGACGUGAAAUCCCUCGGCUUAACCGGGGAACUGCAUCUGAUACUGGAUGGCUAGAGAUUGGGAGAGGGAUGCGGAAUUCCAGGUGUAGCGGUGAAAUGCGUAGAUAUCUGGAGGAACACCGGUGGCGAAGGCGGCAUCCUGGACCAACACUGACACUGAAAAGCGAAAGCCAGGGGAGCAAACGGG